GACGAACGCUGGCGGCGUGCUUAACACAUGCAAGUCGAACGGAAAGGCCCUGCUUUUGUGGGGUGCUCGAGUGGCGAACGGGUGAGUAACACGUGAGUAACCUGCCCUUGACUUUGGGGUAACUUCAGGAAACUGGGGCUAAUACCGGAUAGGAGCUCCUGCUGCAUGGUGGGGGUUGGAAAGUUUCGGCGGUUGGGGAUGGACUCGCGGCUUAUCAGCUUGUUGGUGGGGUAGUGGCUUACCAAGGCUUUGACGGGUCGCCGGCCUGAGAGGGUGACCGGCCACAUUGGGACUGAGAUACGGCCCAGACGCCUACGGGAGGCAGCAGUGGGGAAUAUUGCACAAUGGGCGGAAGCCUGAUGCAGCAACGCCGCGUGCGGGAUGACGGCCUUCGGGUUGUAAACCGCUUUCGCCUGUGACGAAGCGUGAGUGACGGUAAUGGGUAAAGAAGCACCGGCUAACUACGUG
RNAcentral lists this ribosomal RNA (468 nucleotides) under uncultured bacterium. RNAcentral describes it as "partial 16S ribosomal RNA". It matches the Rfam family "Bacterial small subunit ribosomal RNA", at positions 28 to 507 of the family's 1533-position model. The record is from RNAcentral.